CUAGAGUGUAGGCUGAAAACUGCAUCGAUAGCUUCUGUAUUUUUAUAAUUUGCGUAGUUUGAAGCAAAUGAAUAGGUAAUGGACACCGAUUAAUUGAUAGAGAUCAUACAUAAACUUCAUUCCGUUUUUAUCUGAACAGUUAUCAAUUGGAAAUGUCAAACCAACUCUGAUUAAGCAGAGAUCAGAACUUGCCAGAAGAAGGUUGAGAAAGUCUUGAUUAACAAUGGCGAAGUUAACAACAUAGCAACCUAUUGGAAAUUAGUUCACUCCGUUUCAUGUCAGAAGAAACUCGUGGGGAGUAAAGCAAGAAAAUAAAAAAAGGUGCAUUUUGUCUAUUAAUUUGCUGGCAAGAGUUCUGGAAGAAAAAUGAUAAAGCAGUUAUAGACACUCCUGGUCUUUGUGCUCCUCUUACUCUGCCUCUGGCACCAUGAUCCCCUGGUUACCCGAGUGCUACAUUGUCAUGGGGGCUGUGCCGAGGUGGACUCCAUGACAGAGGCGGUGGCCGGGGAGAGCUUCCUCAUGGACUGAAUCUCCUGUAAGAGGAGGUCCAGGCCCAUACCACGGUUGACUGGCACUUCAGAGCCACAGGAGAGGAGGAGUACAUCCGCAUAAAUCAUAAUGUACGUGCUGAUCGUGGUGCUGCAGCUGUGGAUGUUUGUGGUGCUGAUCCACUGCUACAACAAGAUCUGGGCUGAACACGAGGCGUGGGACGCCCGCAAAACCUUGAGGGCCCAAGAACUGGCCCUAAUAAACGAACCUUUAGACUCAAAGGACAAUUGUGAUGGAGUGCUUCUGGAGUGACUUGUUAUGGUAAACAUCAAAGGUGGAGAACUCUGUCACAAGCAGGUGUUACCACUACACUAGUAGGCUAUUACAUCAUAGAAACAUCAUUUGAAUGUCUUAGCAUAGUGUGUAACACAUGCGGUUUACAAUGUACUUGAUUUACUGUACGAGGUAGUUGCAGCUGGCGUGAGUGGUGAUUAGAUUGACAGGUGGUGCCGAACAGCCUUAGUGUGUCAACUCAACAGAGAAUGUCAUCACGUGAUGGAUCAACAGUUCUGACAAAGCUCUGAUUACAGAUGGUUCCACCUAAGCUACAUAGAACGCUUUGGCAGGAACAACCAUGCAUCUACAUAGAUAGAUCUCAUCUACGACCAUGUUGUUAAAGUUUAUUUUAAUCGCUUUGGUGCUAUUUUCACAACUCUUAAUCCAAAACUCCAAGCUGGUCACACAUGUAAUGCAGC
Molecule: long non-coding RNA, 1244 nt
Organism: Oncorhynchus tshawytscha (Chinook salmon)
Lineage: Eukaryota; Metazoa; Chordata; Actinopteri; Salmoniformes; Salmonidae
Source: Ensembl